AAAGAGCGCGGUUACCCGGCGGCUCUUCGGCACCUCCCCGGCGCGGACGGGCUCUCCGUGUGAGGCCAGAGGAUACAGAGGCGGGCACGGCUGUGAGAAGGGCGGUGUAAAUUUAAACACAUGAAAGGGCCGAGCUGCUAAAGCCAAGGAUUUUAGUGCGAAUAGAAAUCAGAAAUAAUUUUCAGAAUGUGCUCGAAUAGACAAAUAAAAGCCAAAGCAUGAGUAAA
Long non-coding RNA from Neopelma chrysocephalum (saffron-crested tyrant-manakin), 227 nucleotides. RefSeq lists it as uncharacterized. NCBI's taxonomy places the organism in Eukaryota, Metazoa, Chordata, Aves, Passeriformes, Pipridae. The record is from RefSeq and is a predicted model, not a curated record. The transcript has 2 exons.